GACGAACGCUGGCGGCGUGCCUAAUACAUGCAAGUAGAACGCUGAAGAGAGGAGCUUACUCUUCUUGGAUGAGUUGCGAACGGGUGAGUAACGCGUAGGUAACCUGCCUUGUAGCGGGGGAUAACUAUUGGAAACGAUAGCUAAUACCGCAUAACAAUGGAUGACACAUGUCAUUUAUUUGAAAGGGGCAAUUGCUCCACUACAAGAUGGACCUGCGUUGUAUUAGCUAGUAGGUGAGGUAAUGGCUCACCUAGGCGACGAUACAUAGCCGACCUGAGAGGGUGAUAGGCCACACUGGGACUGAGACACGGCCCAGACUCCUACGGGAGGCAGCAGUAGGGAAUCUUCGGCAAUGGGGGCAACCCUGACCGAGCAACGCCGCGUGAGUGAAGAAGGUUGUCGGAUCGUAAAGCUCUGUUGUAAGUCAAGAACGGGUGUGAGAGUGGAAAGUUCACACUGUGACGGUAGCUUACCAGAAAGGGACGGCUAACUACGUG
This 497-nucleotide ribosomal RNA is filed under the name uncultured bacterium. RNAcentral's name for it is "partial 16S ribosomal RNA". It matches the Rfam family "Bacterial small subunit ribosomal RNA", at positions 28 to 507 of the family's 1533-position model. The record is from RNAcentral.